UAUAUUGAGAGUUUGAUCCUGGCUCAGGAUGAACGUUGGCGGCGUGAUUAAGGCAUGCAAGUCGAGCGAUCGGUAUUGACUUCGGUUGAUAUACGGAGCGGCAAACGGGUGAGUAACACAUUAGUAAUCUACCUUCGAGACGGGAAUAGCCCAUUGAAAAAUGGAUUAAUGCCCGAUAGCCAUGGGGGGUCAUAUGACCCGCCCAUGUAAAUCCUUCGGGGCUUGAAGAGGAGCUUAUGUCUGAUUAGCUAGUUGGUAGGGUAAAGGCCUACCAAGGCUAUGAUCAGUAGCAGGCGUGAGAGCGUGACCUGCCUCACUGGGACUGAGACACUGCCCAGACUCCUACGGGAGGCUGCAGUCGUGAAUAUUCCGCAAUGGACGAAAGUCUGACGGAGCGACGCCGCGUGCAGGAAGACGCCCUUCGGGGUGUAAACUGCUUUUAUAUGGGAAGAAUUUGUGACGGUACCAUAUGAAUAAGAGGUUGCUAACUCUGUGCCAGCAGCAGCGGUAAUACAGAGACCUCAAACGUUAUCCGGAUUCAUUGGGCGUAAAGCGUCCGUAGGUGGUUUGAUAAGUUGAUGGUUAAAUUCUGGAGCUUAACUUCAGAACUGCCACCAAAACUAUCAAACUUGAGGCUGGGAGAGGCAAGCGGAAUUCUCGGUGUAGUCGUAAUAAGCGCUGAUAUCGAGAAGAACACCAAAGGCGAAGGCAGCU
RNAcentral lists this ribosomal RNA (714 nucleotides) under Candidatus Magasanikbacteria bacterium RIFCSPLOWO2_12_FULL_34_7. Its description in RNAcentral is "bacterial SSU rRNA". It matches the Rfam family "Bacterial small subunit ribosomal RNA", at positions 1 to 726 of the family's 1533-position model. The record is from RNAcentral. Lineage: Bacteria; Candidatus Magasanikiibacteriota.